UACGGAGGGUGCAAGCGUUAUCCGGAUUUAUUGGGUUUAAAGGGUCCGUAGGCGGGCCGAUAAGUCAGUGGUGAAAUCUCGCAGCUUAACUGUGAAACUGCCAUUGAUACUGUUGGUCUUGAGUAAAUUUGAAGUGGCUGGAAUAAGUAGUGUAGCGGUGAAAUGCAUAGAUAUUACUUAGAACACCAAUUGCGAAGGCAGGUCACUAAGAUUUAACUGACGCUGAUGGACGAAAGCGUGGGUAGCGAAC
Molecule: ribosomal RNA, 250 nt
Filed under: uncultured bacterium
Lineage: Bacteria
Description: partial 16S ribosomal RNA
Rfam family: Bacterial small subunit ribosomal RNA
Source: RNAcentral